This 253-nucleotide ribosomal RNA is filed under the name uncultured bacterium. RNAcentral's name for it is "partial 16S ribosomal RNA". It matches the Rfam family "Bacterial small subunit ribosomal RNA", at positions 524 to 776 of the family's 1533-position model. The record is from RNAcentral.
UACAGAGGUCUCAAGCGUUGUUCGGAUUCAUUGGGCGUAAAGGGUGCGUAGGUGGCGCGCUAAGUCAGGUGUGAAAUUUCGGAGCUUAACUCCGAAACUGCAUUUGAUACUGGCGUGCUUGAGGACUGGAGAGGAGACUGGAAUUCACGGUGUAGAGGUGAAAUUCGUAGAUAUUGGGAAGAACACCGGUGGCGAAGGCGGCGACCUGGUCCUUGACUGACGCUGAGGCGCGAAAGCGUGGGGAGCAAACGGG